UGCCCUCCACUUCGGGAUAAGCCUUGGAAACGGGGUCUAAUACCGGAUAUGAGCCUGCAUCGCAUGGUGUGGGUUGGAAAGUUUUUCGGUGGGGGAUGGGCUCGCGGCCUAUCAGCUUGUUGGUGGGGUGAUGGCCUACCAAGGCGUCGACGGGUAGCCGGCCUGAGAGGGCGACCGGCCACACUGGGACUGAGACACGGCCCAGACUCCUACGGGAGGCAGCAGUGGGGAAUAUUGCACAAUGGGCGAAAGCCUGAUGCAGCGACGCCGCGUGAGGGAUGACGGCCUUCGGGUUGUAAACCUCUUUCAGCAGGGAAGAAGCGCAAGUGACGGUACCUGCAGAAGAAGCGCCGGCUAACUACGUGCCAGCAGCCGCGGUAAUACGUAGGGCGCAAGCGUUGUCCGGAAUUAUUGGGCGUAAAGAGCUCGUAGGCGGUCUGUCGCGUCUGGUGUGAAAUCCCGAGGCUCAACCUCGGGCUUGCAUCGGGUACGGGCAGACUAGAGUGCGGUAGGGGAGACUGGAAUUCCUGGUGUAGCGGUGGAAUGCGCAGAUAUCAGGAGGAACACCGAUGGCGAAGGCAGGUCUCUGGGCCGCAACUGACGCUGAGGAGCGAAAGCAUGGGGAGCGAACAGGAUUAGAUACCCUGGUAGUCCAUGCCGUAAACGUUGGGCACUAGGUGUGGGGCUCAUUCCACGAGUUCCGUGCCGCAGCUAACGCAUUAAGUGCCCCGCCUGGGGAGUACGGCCGCAAGGCUAAAACUCAAAGGAAUUGACGGGGGCCCGCACAAGCGGCGGAGCAUGCGGAUUAAUUCGAUGCAACGCGAAGAACCUUACCAAGGCUUGACAUGCACCGGAAACACUCAGAGAUGGGUGCCCCGCAAGGUCGGUGCACAGGUGGUGCAUGGUUGUCGUCAGCUCGUGUCGUGAGAUGUUGGGUUAAGUCCCGCAACGAGCGCAACCCUCGUCCUAUGUUGCCAGCGGGUUAUGCCGGGGACUCAUGGGAGACUGCCGGGGUCAACUCGGAGGAAGGUGGGGAUGACGUCAAAUCAUCAUGCCCCUUAUGUCUUGGGCUUCACGCAUGCUACAAUGGCCGGUACAGAGGGCUGCGAUACCGUAAGGUGGAGCGAAUCCCAAAAAGCCGGUCUCAGUUCGGAUUGGGGUCUGCAACUCGACCCCAUGAAGUCGGAGUCGCUAGUAAUCGCAGAUCAG
Molecule: ribosomal RNA, 1209 nt
Filed under: Isoptericola sp. RMS26
Lineage: Bacteria; Bacillati; Actinomycetota; Actinomycetes; Micrococcales; Promicromonosporaceae
Description: bacterial SSU rRNA
Rfam family: Bacterial small subunit ribosomal RNA
Source: RNAcentral